CCUACGGGAGGCAGCAGUGGGGAAUUUUGGACAAUGGGCGCAAGCCUGAUCCAGCAAUGCCGCGUGAGUGAAGAAGGCCUUCGGGUUGUAAAGCUCUUUUGUCAGGGAAGAAACGGUGAAGACUAAUAUCUUUUGCUAAUGACGGUACCUGAAGAAUAAGCACCGGCUAACUACGUGCCAGCAGCCGCGGUAAUACGUAGGGUGCAAGCGUUAAUCGGAAUUACUGGGCGUAAAGCGUGCGCAGGCGGUUUUGUAAGUUUGUCGUGAAAUCCCCGGGCUCAACCUGGGAAUGGCGAUGAAGACUGCAAGGCUAGAAUCUGGCAGAGGGGGGUAGAAUUCCACGUGUAGCAGUGAAAUGCGUAGAGAUGUGGAGGAACACCGAUGGCGAAGGCAGCCCCCUGGGUCAAGAUUGACGCUCAUGCACGAAAGCGUGGGGAGCAAACAGGAUUAGAUACCCUGGUAGUCCACGCCCUAAACGAUGUCUACUAGUUGUCGGGUUUUAAUUAACUUGGUAACGCAGCUAACGCGUGAAGUAGACCGCCUGGGGAGUACGGUCGCAAGNUUAAAACNCAAAUGAAAUUGACGGCUGAGACGNGCGAGGACGACGACGAGGGAGGAGG
This 620-nucleotide ribosomal RNA is filed under the name uncultured bacterium. RNAcentral's name for it is "bacterial SSU rRNA". It matches the Rfam family "Bacterial small subunit ribosomal RNA", at positions 338 to 951 of the family's 1533-position model. The record is from RNAcentral.